GUCGGGGGUGGGAAGCUCAGACAUGGGGGAGAAGGAGGUUGGUCUUAACCUGAGAUAAAUGCCUUUGGGGUCCACAUACAUAAAUAAGAUAAACUGUUAAAACACAUGCCUGUCUUUCCCUCCAGGCAGUGGAGAAUUCCAAAGAUAACCCACUUUCCAGAUAUAAGCACUCACGAUGCACCAGGCCAAGCUCUUACCCACAUUUUCCUUUUUAUUCCUCACAACCACACCUUUUGAGGUUAUUUGCCCCAUUUUGCAAGCGAGGCAAAUGAGGCCCAGAGAGGGGAUGUCCCUUGUACUCCCGGGUACACGAGACAGGAGGUGACCUUGUCAGAAUUUAUGCUCAGAGCCUUUGUUUCAAACCAUGACGCCAUAUGGCCUCUGUUCAUUGCUACCUUAUGUCACCAUAAAAUGCUUUGUGACUCCUGUCAAACAAACUGGCUCAGGAGGGAUGAAUAUCUAUCAUGGAUCUCCACUCUCCCAUUCCCACAUUUAUAGAAGAGUUAGCCUGGUACCUCACUGCUCAGCCAAAGAUGACAAUUCCCAGCUGCCUUUCCAGCCAGGUGUGGCCAUGUGGAAUAUGAGUGGAGAUAAUGCAGGCAAUUUCCAAGUCAUGCCUUUAAUAAAGAAAAGUAGCACACCUCCCUUUCUCUCUCCCUACCAUGUUGAUAGCUAAAGCCAGAGCAGCCAUCUUGGACCAUGAGAUGGAGGACACAAUAUAAAAGAAGACUGGGGCUUCCCUGGUGGCUCAGUGGUUGAGAGUCCACCUGCUGAUGUAGGGGACGCGGGUUCGUGCCCCGGUCCGGGAGGAUCCCACAUGCCGCGGAGCGGCUGGGCUUGUGAGCCAUGGCCGCUGAGCCUGCGCGUCCGGAGCCUGUGCUCCGCAACGGGAAAGGCCACAGCAGUGAGAGGCCCGCAUACUGCAAAAAAAAACAAACCGAAUCCUCAACGCUGUGAAGCCGCCAUACUUAAUUCCAACCACUUAUGAAUACUUUUAUACAUGUAACCAAGAGAACAUUUUCCAUCUUGUUGAAACUAUGCUACUUUGUACCUUUUUGUUACAGCAGCCAAACUUGUGGCUUAAUAGCUGAGCCCCCAGAACACUGGAGCCUCUAACCUACUGCAUUUGAAGAGACCUGCUAUACUUGAGACAUUUAUGUGAGCAACAAACUAUCCUGCUUCCACCAGCUAUUUUGGUUUCUUUCACAGCUGUUGAACUAAUACACAAAGAGAAAAGAGAGAGCAAGCUUUCUCCAUUGUAAAAUGGGAACAACUUCACAUUUCUUGCAUAACUGCUCUGGAGAACAAGUGUGAUAAGAAAUAUUGUAUUAAGGUGACAUCAGCAAAAUGGUGGAGUCAGGAACCCCCAAAUUCCACCCCUCCAAACUGGCCAAAACUAUGAGUCAAGUCAUUGAGGGGAUUAUAACAAUCAUAAAUAUAUAUGCACCUAAUAGAGCUUCAAAACACAUGAAUCAAAAACUGUUAAAUUGGGAAUUCCCUGGCAGUCCAGUGGUUAGGACUCUGUGCUUUCACUGCUGAGGGCCCAGUUUCAAUCCCUGCUCAGGGAACUAAGAUCUGCAAGCCCCACAGUGUGGCCAAAAAGAAAAAAAAGACACUGACAGAAUUGAAGGGAGAAAUUGACAAUUUAACAGUAAUGGUUGGAGACUACAAUACCUCACUUUCAAGAAUGGAUUGAACAACUAGAUCAACAAGGAGAUAGAAGACUUGGACAACACUAUAAACCAACCAGACCUAACAGGCACCUACAGAACAUUCCACCCAACAAAAGAAUACACAUUCUUCUCAAGUGAAAUUGAACGUUGUUCAUAUGGUCGAGGACAGACCAUAUAUUAAGUGACAAAACAAGUCUCAAUAAAUUUAAAAGGAUUUGAAAACAAAGUGUGUUUUCUGACCUCAAUGACCUCAGUAGAAUGAAAUCAGGAAUCAAUAGCAGAAAGAAAUUUGAGAAACUCACAAAUAUAUGGAAAUUAAACAACACACUCAUAAACAGCCAAUGGGUAGAAGAAGAAAUCACAAGAGAAAUUAUACUUAGGAAUGAGGGAAAAUGAAAACAUAACAUACCAAAACUUGUGAGAUGCAGCAGAGGCAAUACUUUGAGGGAAAUUUAGAGCUGUAAACACCUACAUCAAAAAAGAACUUAAGGGCUUCCCUGGUGGUGCAGUGGUUGAGAGUCCGCCUGCCGAUGCAGGGGACACGGGUUCGUGCCCUGGUCCAGGAGGAUCCCACAUGCCGCGGAGCGGCUGGGCCCGUGAGCCAUGGCUGCUGAGCCUAUGCAUCCGGAGCCUGUGCUCCGCAACGGGAGAGGCCACAGCAGUGAGAGGCCCAUGUACCGCAAAAAUAAAAAAAAUAAAAGAACUUAAGAUCAGUAACCUAAUCUUCCACCUUAAGAAACUAGAAAAAGAAGGGACAACUUAACCCAAAGCUAGCAGAAUGAAGGAAAUAAUAAAGAUUAGAGUGGAAAAAAAUGAAAUAGAGAAUAGAAAAACAGUAGAGAAAAAUCAACAAAACCAGAAGUUGGUUUUUUGAAAAGGUCAACAAAAUUGACAAGUUUUAAGCUAGACUGACCAUGAAAAAGAGGAAGAAGGCUCAAAUUACUAAAAUCAGGAAGGAAAGAGGACAUUACUACCAAUCUUACGGAAAGAGAAAAGAUGAAAAGGGAACACUAUGAACAAUUGUAUGUCAUCAAAAAUUGUAUGUUUCAUCAAAAGAUGAAAAGGGAACACUAUGAACAAUUGUAUGUCAUCAAACUUGAUAAUCUAGAUGAAAUGGACAAAUUCCUAGCAAAACACUAACUCAAGAAGAGCUCGGACAUCUGGAUAGACCUGUAAUAAGUAAAGAGGUGAGUUAGUAAUUUUAAAACUUCCAAUAAAAAAAGCCCAGAUGGCUUCACUGCUGAAUUCUACCAAUCAUUUGAAAAAGAGUUGCUGCCAAUUCAUCUCAAACCCUUCACCAAAAAACAAACAAAACAAAACAAAAAAAAACCACCAGAAAACAAACAAAACAGAAGAGGAGGGAACUAACUCAUUCUAUGAGGCCAAUGUUACCCUGAUACCAAAACCAAAGACAUCACCAGAUAAUAAAACUACAGAUCCAUAUUCCUUCUGAAAGCAGCCACAAAAUUUUCAACAGAAUACUAGCAAACCAAGUCCAGCAGCGUAUAAAAAGGAUUAUACACCAUGCCAAGUAGGAUUUAUCCCAGGAAUGCAAAAUUGGUUCAACGUGAAAAUUAACCCAUGUAACAUUCUGUAUUAGUGAAAUAAUAGGGGGAAAAAAUACAAUCAUGUCAAUGAAUAGAGAAAUAGCAUUUGACAAAAUCCAAUGCCCUUUCAUGAUAAAAACACUCAACAAACUAGAAGCACAAGGGAACUUGCUCAUCCUGGUGAAGGGCACCUACAAAAAAGAAAAAAAUUUAAAACCAAUAAAACCCACACAAAACCAUGGUGGUUUAAAAUAUGCCCACAAAGUUUUUGAGGCUCUUUUAAAAUGUGCAGCCUUAUUCCUGUCACUUGAGUGUCAGCUGGACUUAGUGACUCAUACCUAGUAAAUAGAAUAAGGCAGAAGUGACGGUAUGUGACUUAAGAAAUGAGUUCGUAAGAGGAACCAUGUCUUCCUUCUUGCUCACUCUUACUCUGGAGAAUGAUAGUUGCCAUGUUCUAAGCAACUACCUAUGGAGAGGCCCGUGUGGCAAGGAACUGAGGCCUCCAACCAAGAGCCAUGUGAGUGCGCCAUCUUGGAAGCCCAACCUCCAGCUCCAAUCAAGCCUUCAGAUGACUGCAGCCCCUGCCAAAAUCUUGAGUACAACCUCAUGAGAGACCCUAAGCCAGAACCACCCAAUUAAGCCACUCCAGGAUCUGCGGGACGAUGAGGAUUGAAUACCAGCGCUGGAGGAUCUUACAUUCUACGGGGGGUUGGAAGGGGACAGGCAGGCAAUAGAAACAAACCAAAAAUACCAAAUGUCCGAACGUGAUAAAAAGGGAAUCAAAAGUGGGUGAUGGCCAUGUGGACAUUUGUCAAAGCUUGUCGAUUUGCGCACCUGGGAUCUGAGCCUCUUAUUGUGUGUGAAUUCUGCCUGUUAAAGGGUCUAAGCAAGCACUGAACUGUAGUUCAUUAUGUGCAUGUUGAAUAUUUGGAGUUGUGUUAGACCCCGGGACUGCUGUAACAAAGUCCUGCAGACUGAGCGUCUUAAACCAUAGAUAGUUAUUGUCUGAAAGUUCUGCAGGCCAGAAGUCCAAGGUCAAGGUGUCAGCAGGGUUGGUUCCUUCUGAGGCUGUGAGGGAGAAUCUGUGCCUCUCUCCUAGUAUCUGGUAUCCUUAGGUGUUCCUUGGUUUGUAGAUGGCCAUCUUCUCCCUGUGUCUUCACACUAUCUUCUCUGUGGAACUGUUUAUCUCUGUGUCCAAAUUUCCCCCCUUUUAAGAAACUGGACAUAUUGGAUGAGGGCCCACCCAAAUGACCAUGUCUUAACUUGAUCAUCUGCAAAGACCCUAUUUCCAAAUAAGGCCAAAUUCACAGCUACUGCGGGUUAGGACUUGAGUGUCUUUUGCAGGACGUAAUGCAACCCGUAACAGGGUUGAUGAGUACUGAUAUCUGCAACUUUGUUUUAUUCUGUUUUUUAAUUGUUUUUUUAUUGAAUAAAUUUGACUUUGUUGUUGUUGUUUUGUUUUGUUUUUUGCCACGCUGCACGGCUUGUGGGAUCUUAGUUCCCUGACCAGGGAUCAAACCUGGGCCAAGUCCUAAUCACUGGACUGCCAGGGAAUUCCCAGACAUAUAGUGUUUAUAAAUUUAAAGUGUGUCUUACUUUGAUACAUUUAUAUAUUAUAACAUGAUUGCCAUUGUAGCUAUAUUAUCACAUAAUUAUAGCACAAUAUUGUUAUCUAUAUUCACUAUACUGUGUAUUAGAUCUCUAUGGCUUAUUUACUAUUUGUUGCAAGUUUGUACCCUUAAACAACAUCAAUCGUAUCUCCCACACCCUAUCUGCUGGUAACCACCAUUUUAAUCUUUUUUUACAGGUUAGACUUUUUAAGAUUCCACGUAUAAGUGAAAUCAUACAGUACUUGUCUUUUCUGUCUGGUUUAUCUAGCUUAGCAUAAUGUGCUCAGGGUCUGUCCGCGUGGCUGAAAACAGCAGAGUAUCCUCUUUUCUCACGGCCAGAUAAUAUUCCAUUGUGUGUAUAUACCACCUGGUUGUUUCCAUAUCUUGGCUAUUGUGAAUAGUGCUAUUUGCAACUUACUUUGAAUGCAUUAAAAAUACAUGAUGGGAAAAAAAAAAUACAUGAUGGGGGCUUCCCUGGUGGCGCCGUGGUUGAGCGUCCGCCUGCCGAUGCAGGGGACGUGGGUUCGUGCCCCGGUCCGGGAGGAUCCCACAUGCCGCGGAGCGGCUGGGCCCGUGAGCCAUGGCCGCUGGGCCUGCGCGUCCGGAGCCUGUGCUCCGCAACAGGAGAGGCCACACAGUGAGAGGCCUGCGUACUGCAAAAAAAAAAAAAAAAAAAAAUACAUGAUGGAUUUGGACUUCCCUCGUGGCACAGUGGUUAAGAAUCUGCCUGCCAACGCAGGGGACAUGGGUUCAAGCCCUGGUUGGGAAGAUCCCACAUACUGCGGACAACUAAGCCCGUGCGCCACAACUACUGAGUCUGCUCGCCUAGAACCCGUGCUCCACAACAAGAGAAGCCACCGCAACGAGAAGCCCGUGCACGGCAACGAAGAGUAGCCCCCACUUGCCGCAACUAGAGAAAGCCCGCGCGCAGCAACGAAGACCCAACGCAGCCAUAAAUAAAUAAAUAAAUAAAAUUAAAAUAAAGAAAUAAAUUAGGAUAACUUGGGGAAAAAAAAAAAGACUCCUGCGCUCCCAGUGCAGGGGGCUUGGGUUCGAUCCCUGGUCAGGGAAAUAGAUCCUGCAUGCAUGCUGCAACUAAGAGUUCACGUGCCGCAACUAAGGAGCCGGCAAGCUGCAACUAAGGAGCCCGCCUGCUGCAACUGAGACCCGGCGCAAGCAAAUAAAAUAAAUAAAUUUUUUAAAAAUUAAAAAAAAAGGGGCUUCCCUGGUGGCGCAGUGGUUGAGAGUCCGCCUGCUGAUGCGGGGGACACGGGUUCGUGCCCCGGUCCGGGAAGAUCCCACAUGCCGCGGAGCGGCUGGGCCCGUAAUCCAUGGCCGCUAAGCCUGCGCAUCCGGAGCCUGUGCUCCGCAACAGGAGAGGCCACAACAGUGAGAGACCCGCGUACCGCAAAAAAAAAAAAAAUAAAUAAAAAUAAACAAAUAAAA
Long non-coding RNA from Globicephala melas (long-finned pilot whale), 6276 nucleotides. RefSeq lists it as uncharacterized. NCBI's taxonomy places the organism in Eukaryota, Metazoa, Chordata, Mammalia, Artiodactyla, Delphinidae. The record is from RefSeq and is a predicted model, not a curated record.